RNAcentral lists this ribosomal RNA (496 nucleotides) under uncultured bacterium. Its description in RNAcentral is "partial 16S ribosomal RNA". It matches the Rfam family "Bacterial small subunit ribosomal RNA", at positions 28 to 506 of the family's 1533-position model. The record is from RNAcentral.
GAUGAACGCUGGCGGCGUGCCUAAUACAUGCCAGUCGAGCGAACAGACGAGGAGCUUGCUCCUCUGACGUUAGCGGCGGACGGGUGAGUAACACGUGGAUAACCUACCUAUAAGGCUGGGAUAACUUCGGGAAACCGGAGCUAAUACCGGAUAAUAUAUUGAACCGCAUGGUUCAAUAGUGAAAGACGGUUUUGCUGUCACUUAUAGAUGGAUCCGCGCCGCAUUAGCUAGUUGGUAAGGUAACGGCUUACCAAGGCAACGAUGCGUAGCCGACCUGAGAGGGUGAUCGGCCACACUGGAACUGAGACACGGUCCAGACUCCUACGGGAGGCAGCAGUAGGGAAUCUUCCGCAAUGGGCGAAAGCCUGACGGAGCAACGCCGCGUGAGUGAUGAAGGUCUUCGGAUCGUAAAACUCUGUUAUUAGGGAAGAACAAAUGUGUAAGUAACUAUGCACGUCUUGACGGUACCUAAUCAGAAAGCCACGGCUAACUACGU